Molecule: non-coding RNA, 24 nt
Filed under: Arabidopsis thaliana (thale cress)
Lineage: Eukaryota; Viridiplantae; Streptophyta; Magnoliopsida; Brassicales; Brassicaceae
Source: RNAcentral
UGAUUCUACGUUGAUUUCACGUGU